Molecule: ribosomal RNA, 520 nt
Filed under: uncultured Glomus
Lineage: Eukaryota; Fungi; Glomeromycota; Glomeromycetes; Glomerales; Glomeraceae
Description: SSU rRNA
Rfam family: Eukaryotic small subunit ribosomal RNA
Source: RNAcentral
AGCAGCCGCGGUAAUUCCAGCUCCAAUAGCGUAUAUUAAAGUUGUUGCAGUUAAAAAGCUCGUAGUUGAAUUUCGAGACCAAAUUGUUGGUCGUGCCUUGGUACGUACUGGCAAUAUUGGUUUCUCCCUUCUGACGAACCAAGAUGUCAUUAAUUUGGUGUCUUGGGGAAUCAGAACUGUUACUUUGAAAAAAUUAGAGUGUUUAAAGCAGGCUCGCGCUUGAAUACAUUAGCAUGGAAUAAUGAAAUAGGACGUUUGAUUCUAUUUUGUUGGUUUCUAGGAUCGACGUAAUGAUUAAUAGGGAUAGUUGGGGGCAUUAGUAUUCAAUUGUCAGAGGUGAAAUUCUUGGAUUUAUUGAAGACUAACUACUGCGAAAGCAUUUGCCAAGGAUGUUUCAUUAAUCAAGAACGAAAGUUAGGGGAUCGAAGACGAUCAGAUACCGUCGUAGUCUUAACCAUAAACUAUGCCGACUAGGGAUCGGAUGAUGUUAAUUUUUAAUGACUCAUUCGGCGCCUUACGG